GACGAACGCUGGCGGCGUGCUUAACACAUGCAAGUCGAACGGAAAGGCCCUGCUUUUGUGGGGUGCUCGAGUGGCGAACGGGUGAGUAACACGUGAGUAACCUGCCCUUGACUUUGGGAUAACUUCAGGAAACUGGGGCUAAUACCGGAUAGGAGCUCCUGCUGCAUGGUGGGGGUUGGAAAGUUUCGGCGGUUGGGGAUGGACUCGCGGCUUAUCAGCUUGUUGGUGGGGUAGUGGCUUACCAAGGCUUUGACGGGUAGCCGGCCUGAGAGGGUGACCGGCCAGAUUGGAACUGAGAGACGGCCCAGAGUCCUGCGGGAGGAAGCAGUGGGGAAUAUUGCACAAUGGGCGGAAGCCUGAUGCAGCAACGCCGCGUGCGGGAUGACGGCCUUCGGGUUGGAAACCGCUUUCGCCUGUGACGAAGCGGGAGUGACGGUAAUGGGUAAAGAAGCACCGGCUAACUACGUG
Molecule: ribosomal RNA, 468 nt
Filed under: uncultured bacterium
Lineage: Bacteria
Description: partial 16S ribosomal RNA
Rfam family: Bacterial small subunit ribosomal RNA
Source: RNAcentral